GUAAACCUAAAGGUUAAUGAUGGGAAAACCGAGGCUUAGAGUCUACUGAAGUCAUGGCUAGAAUGCAGCAAAUUGAUGCUCAAACUUGAUUUUGCCUGACUUCUCACUCAAGCAAGCUAUUGAGAUGUAUGUACUCUUGGUUUCAUGCAGUGCCACAUCAAGUUGUAACAGCAACAAAGACAAAGUGCUUAUGAUUGGGUUUGAACUUGUGUGACAUUGAAGCUCUGUGUAUACAUGGCUACUGAAUUGUAUGAAAAACCAUUUCUGUCGUAGGUCAGUGAUGUGUCCUGGAACACUGUAAGACGGAGAGAACAUACAGAAGACAGAGCUUCCUAUUUGGAGGUGGAAUGAAGGUAAACAGGAUUAAGUUGUUUUUCAGGUUCUGGAAUCAUCUUGCAAGAAAGAGGAGACAAGUCCAAGUCACCGUGAUGGUACAAGACAAACACAGCUCAACCGGGGCAGGCUUAAAGGAUGUGGACACUAAGUGCUAUCCAUCAGCAGUUAGAAACGUUGAGGACAUAGAGACGGAGAAGUGAAAUUGCUGGCUUCAUGUCUGGUGCUCAGUGUCUGGUGAGGAACAUCUUUACCAGUGGAUUCUGUCCCUCGCUGAAACGCCUCCCAGUAUCUCAUUAGGUGUUGUUUUAAGUUGGGGCUGACCACAGGAAAAAUUCAGAGAUUUGGAAGGUGGACAUAGAGGCAUUCGCCCCUUUAAAGGGUUACAGGCUCUUACCAUGUGGGCCAGGCUGACCUCAAACUCAUGCUGAUCAUUCUGCCUUAGCCUCUCAACUUCUGGGAUUAUAGGCACGAGUCACAGUGCCUAGCUACAGCAGCCGGUUCUAUGUCCCUAAGAUUGGGCCAGGGAAAGGCCAGACAUACCUGUCAUUCUCCUGUGUGUUGCUCUGUGGCCGGGGUUGCCAGCCUUUCCUGUCACACUGUGCUUUAAAUGAUGUGAGAGAAAAGUGUAGGGCUGAGGUUUGCAUUUGGAGGCCGCCAUUUAUACCUCCUUCCCAGCUUCCUGCCCAGGUGAGUGCAAAGGCAAUGGCUUUGCCUAUGCCCUCCCUCCCUUCCCCAAGUCUAUAUCUUAACACAACAUCCUAUUUAUAGAGUUCCUGCAUCUUGCUUCUAACAUGGACUGAUAUUCUGACUCUAUAACUGGAUGGCUAUAUGACGAUAGAUGCUGGAUGGACAACUGGGAAUAUUACAACUAUUAUUGUUUGGGGAGCUUCUGUGUUCUUGCAAGUGCUUGCUCUCAUUUUGGUUUUGGGCUCCAGGAAAAGCAAAUAGUAGUGGAGGCUGCUGAAAUUAAAAUGAUGCCGAAGAAAUGAAAUAUGGCUGCUUAUCUUUUCUUUCCUGAAAUUGCCUUGAUGUGCAUCCGUGUGAGUCAAUGCAGUCACCACCUGUCUCUUAUGCGAACCCUUGAAAAGUGAAGAUGGGGUCAUCCUGCUCUUUCCCCUCUGUUUUUAUGCGUUAAUGGGG
This 1476-nucleotide long non-coding RNA is filed under the name Rattus norvegicus (Norway rat). RNAcentral describes it as "long non-coding RNA NONRATT031406". The record is from RNAcentral. Lineage: Eukaryota; Metazoa; Chordata; Mammalia; Rodentia; Muridae.